AGCGGAAGUAAAUUUAAGUGCUCCGUUUGCCAACUGUUAAAUUUGCUGAGUUUAAAGUAAUUUUAAUCUUCUGGCUGACAGAUACAAGAAAACCGUCUCCUGGACUUCAUUUCCCAGAACCACCGGGACCAGGGUAAACCUGACAGGAACACUUCUAACACAGCGGCGUCGGCCAUUUUCUAAGGUCAGAGAUUUGGGUUAGAGCAUACAGUACAAACCAAAAACCAGGAAGGUAAAGAGAUCAACAGAAGAAGAAGAAACAGAAAAACAGUGACGUGACAAAUGCAGUCUACAGUUGCUGCUGGUGUUUCAAUGGGGACCAAGUUUCCUGUAACACACCGUGGAAAGCAGGUUUCUAGAGCACCAAGAAACCAGAACCAGAACCGAUUGGGCCGUCAGAAGAUCCCGCGAUACCAAAGCAUCACGAUAUUUCUCUCUGACGUUACUGCUAGCUAGUUGCUACUAGCAUGGCUCCAUAUGAUGAAACUCUGAUAGAAAACACACAAAUCAAUUUUCUUUUCCUUGGUGGAUUUCCAGCAGGAUCAAUAAAUGGCUUCAAAACGAAAGGAAACCAACAACAAGCAACGCAAGUUGCUCAACAAGAGGCAGGAAGUGUCGCCGUAGCAACCAGUGGCUGGCCAUCUAAGGGUUGUUGAAUGACAUCAUACCGAACCUGAUCAAUAGCAGCUGGGAAACGAUCAGGCUGUGAUUAGCUGGAGUCUUGAAAUGAAAGCAGAGAGAAAAAAAAAACCAAACAUCACAAGAAGUUUGUGGCAAAAAAUCUAUAAAAAUGCAGAAUAAAAGCCUCU
This is a long non-coding RNA of Poeciliopsis prolifica (blackstripe livebearer), 809 nucleotides long. RefSeq lists it as uncharacterized. The record is from RefSeq and is a predicted model, not a curated record. The transcript is spliced from 4 exons. Lineage: Eukaryota; Metazoa; Chordata; Actinopteri; Cyprinodontiformes; Poeciliidae.